This 253-nucleotide ribosomal RNA is filed under the name uncultured bacterium. RNAcentral describes it as "partial 16S ribosomal RNA". It matches the Rfam family "Bacterial small subunit ribosomal RNA", at positions 524 to 776 of the family's 1533-position model. The record is from RNAcentral.
UACGGAAGGGGCAAGCGUUGUUCGGAAUCAUUGGGCGUAAAGGGCGCGUAGGUGGUUCUGUAUGUCUACCGUGAAAGCAUACAGCUCAACUGUAUUUUGUCGGUAGAAACUGCAGGACUUGAGGCUGGGAGGGGCUGGUGGAAUUCCCUGUGUAGCGGUGAAAUGCGCAGAUAUCGGGAGGAACACCGGUGGCGAAGGCGGUUCUCUGGGCCUUACCUGACGCUGAGGAGCGAAAGCGUGGGGAGCGAACAGG